CGUCUCUUGGGCAUGGAUCCCUCUUUCAAUCUCUCUCUCUCUCUCCCAAACUCUCAUCUUGCUCUUCCUCUCCACAUGGAAACAGAUCCGAGUCUCUCUCAAAUUGCAACAAGGGAAGUUGAGGCAUGGAUCUCCUGCUAUGACGGAGCUCAUCUAGAUCAGGUUUUUGGACAUGCAUGUGUGAACAUUGCUCCACAAUUAAUUACACUGUAAUACAUUAGCAGGUAAGGCGAAUCACUUCUUAAGAUUCCCCAUCAUGAGUAACUACAGAAACAGGUGCAUGACCAUGUCUGCUCACGAACAAGCGAAGCUAUGCUAUCUGAUGCUAAAUCUAGCAUAUUCGGCUAGAUCUGCUAGGGAUUUACUCGAAUAAUUAUCUAUUAUAUUUUAACUUCUUCUUCGCAAUUUGUAUUUGAUGAAUCAUGCUUUCUCAAAGUUUAACAUAAAUUUCGAUUUUGGACAUUUACUGAGAAACUGGAGCUAGGUGUUAUGAGCAUGAUUCUUCAAUGCAGAGAAUAAUUGGAGGACCAGUAAGAAAAUUUUCAUGAUUUUGCCAAGUGCGCCGCCAUGCUCCACCCACACUUGCAAGCCCUCCAAUUAGAUAGGCGUAUAACCACGAGUAUCAUCCAUUUACCCCAGGAUACGAGAGCUUUCUCUCAUGCAGUAUUGACUCGCAAUUUUCCAAGUGACAUCAUCUCUGUUUUGUUUUAUCUUAGAAGUUGGAAAUUUGAUAGCACCUAACCUCAUAGACAUGUGUUUGUUCACGUUUUUCUUAAAAUCAGACUAAUUGUAAGUCUACUUCUAUGGCUGAUGCAACUCAGCAUUAGUAUCUUCCAGAUCUCAUAUAUUCAUUGUCACUAGAUGAAUUCAGGUCUGAUGGGGUCUUCCCUUUGCACAUGUGUGCAUUUAGCUAAAUUGCCAUCUAAUUGUUGCCACUAAUCACAAAUGUAAGUGCAGUCUGAAAGUUGAAGGAUGACAUGUUCUCUAGGGUCGGCAAUAAUUAAAAAAUAUAGUGGUACCCAAGGUAAUACUUGAGAAUUGUUUGUGGAUGAUGUGAUUUCUACUUUCUUCUGAUGCCUUUUCCCUUUUUCAUCUGUACAGAUCUCAUGAUCUUUAGUGACCACAGUGUCAUGUAAACUACACAUACAGUUGUGGUACUUGAUUUGGAAACAUCAUAUAAAACAUACUACAACAAAAAGAAUCUUCUAUUUUCUAUCUUUCACAUAUUGAACGAUGCACUUCAAAAUUUUCAUUUCUGCUAUGCACACAUGUAGGCACUGGAGCAUAAUUCUAUCAUCUACCUAUGGAAGACGAUCCAACAUGGAUGCUCUAAAAAGUACCGCAUUUGAGGAUGAGAAAAUGGUGUAUAUGGUGUUGAAGGAAGCGUAGGAAGAAGCAUCUUGACAAAAGACAUGGCAAAGAUGAUGUCCAAGGGAAAAGCAGGGAAGUAAAACAUAAUUAGUUUAGAGUGGUUAAUGUGAAAGCAGUUUUAGUUUCAGCAAGAGGUGGAUUCUGAAGAUAACAACAGGUCAACAGCACAAGACUAUGAUAAGGCAUAACAUAGUUCUGAUGGGAAGGCAUAACAUAGUUGCUGGAAGAUAUAUUUGUACAAUAACAGGCACGCACAUGCAUGUGUAGUUAUACGGGAUUUAAAAAGAGUUAAUAUGAGAGAUUCAAUUCUGAUAGCUGAAAGAAAAUUACAGAACAAAUUUCUGUAAGGUAGCAGCCCAAUGAAUUGUACAAAUAUUGAUGCAUGCAGGUGAUGAUAUACACUAUCAUGUCAAACCCAG
RNAcentral lists this ribosomal RNA (1790 nucleotides) under Triticum aestivum (bread wheat). RNAcentral's name for it is "partial small subunit ribosomal RNA". The record is from RNAcentral. Lineage: Eukaryota; Viridiplantae; Streptophyta; Magnoliopsida; Poales; Poaceae.